CCCAUUGUCUUUAUCUUUAUUUGUGUAGGUACAUGUUGUAUGGAAUAUCAAAGUACAAGUUCAAGGCCGGACUAAAUUGUGUUACUUUGUCAAGGAACGAGAGGAAUGAAGUUUGGGCUUUGUCACAUGGGCCUCGAGCUGUUGACUGAUGCCCUCAAGUGACAAACCAAACCCACUAUGCACACCUUCCUUAGCCUACACCACACUUUUGUUUAACCUACACCCCACCACACCAACCUCAUCCCCUGCAGCACCACACCAACCUCAUCCCCUGCAGCACCACACCACACCACACCACCGCAACUCAGCUCUCCAUCUCACCUACCCGCAUCCUCGAACAGCAACCACCGCACCACCUGAAAUCAAAGCCUAAUCAUAACAUCCCUCCUCUCACCUUCUUCUAUUCACCAACAACAACAGCAAAAACACAACCAAAAUCAAUCAAAAUGAACCCAGAAAACAGAGCAUAUUGGUUCGUUCGAACCCGUAAAUUGGUUCGGCCGGACCCGAAAUUUAGAGUUCCUGAUCGUAUGAGGUUCGGUCGAAUCCGAAUGAAGUUCGCCAAACCACAACUAAGUUCGACCGGACCUCCUAUUAGUUCGUCCGAACAUUUGGGCGGUCAAAUUUUUGUACGGAAUUAAUGAAGUCAAGUGGCUCGUGGUUGUUGGCCGCUCUAUUCGCCGUCGUACAUUGUUUAAUUAAGGGCUGCGAUUGAAGCUUUGCGAUUAAUGGCAGCGAUUGAAUGGUGAUGGACGAUUGAUGAAGAUCAAUGGAUGAUGGUUGUUGGUCAACGGAGACGAACCAAUGGAUGAUGAUGGCUGAUGAACGGUGUUGAUCGAUGGUGAUGUUGGUGGACGAUGAUGAUUGAUUAAGAAAUGGAAGGAGGAGAGCGAAGGGAACACGAAGGGUGGACUCAUUUCAUUUUGGCUGGGGGUGAUUAUAAUAAACGAAGGAGAUGGGUCUGAUGAGUGAUGACUCCGUGAAUUAGUUGGUGGGGAUUUAGGUGCUUUCUUAUUUUAUUUCCCUUUUCUUUUAUUUCUUCUUUUAAUUCCUUUUUUUUUUGUGGUUUUGUUUUAGGCUUCCUUUUUCUUUUUUUUUCUUAGUUUCUUUUAGGAUUUUUUGUCAUUUAACACCUUAAAAAAAAUCAACUUUUGUAAUUAAACACCUUGCUUAAUUUAAAUUAUAUUUAACCACCUUAAAAAAUUACAAAAUUUAGAAUUCAACACCGGUUAACGGUUUCCGUUAGAAAAAACGGAGGUGGGGCCCACUUGCAUAUUCAUCCAACUUAGAGUUUAAUCUAAUCCUAGCUUCCACGAUUCUUUUUAUUUUUAUUUUUUUAAUUUCAUUGUUUUCUUCCCCCUUGCUCACUGCGAUUUUCGUUAUUUUCGUUAUUUUCUUCCCCCUGCCCCUGCUUCCUCCUUCACUCUACCCAGUCUCAAUAUCUCAGAAAAAAAUUGCCUAAAACUUUCUGAAAUUGGUAGAGGGACUAAAUUUAUGCAACUUGCAAUUAAUCAAGAGGAGAAAGAGAAUAAUCGAGCUACAAUCAGGGAAUAGCAGUGAAAAGAGAGCAGGUAUUGCAGCAACAGGGAGCUUACUAGGAGCAGCUACAGUUGUAACACUUAUAUUCAUUCAGUGGAGAUGCCAAGUCCAAAAAAAACAAGGAAAGAAAAUUACGAGGAAAAAGACAGUGUCAGAUGUUCUUGGAAUAGACGAAAACCAAGAUCAAAUCGAAGAGGUUCUACUGUUCAAAUUCGAAAGGGUGGUGACAAUAACAAACAACUGCCACGACUCUAAAAAUCUUGGGCGAGGGGGAUUUGGUCUAGUUUACAGGGGAAAAUUAGAAGACGGACACGAGGUUGUUGUCAAGAGACUUUCAAGAGCCUCAAGACAAGGAUUAGAAGAGUUUAUAAAUGAGGUGUUGGUUAUAUCUAAACUUCAGCACCGAAAUCUUGUAAGAUAAUUGGGUUGUUGUGUGGAAGGAGAGGAGAAGAUGUUGAUAUACGAGUACUUUUUUAGUUUAGGUCUACACUCCGAGGAAUGCGCCUUAUGCUAGUGAGGAAAAUGUAUGUGGUUUGUGAGCAAUAGGCUAAGUUUUUUACCAACAAGUAUUUAUUAUUGGUCUGAGCGCGCUUGAUCGAGUUCGUUUAGUUGUUAUAGAACAAUAUUUUAUAUUAAAGUGUAUGCGUACGUUGAAAUUGGAACAUAUAUUUAAAUGUAGUACGUGCACUUUGGUUUUAA
This is a long non-coding RNA of Spinacia oleracea (spinach), 2238 nucleotides long. RefSeq lists it as uncharacterized. NCBI's taxonomy places the organism in Eukaryota, Viridiplantae, Streptophyta, Magnoliopsida, Caryophyllales, Amaranthaceae. The transcript is spliced from 5 exons. The record is from RefSeq and is a predicted model, not a curated record.